Long non-coding RNA from Myxocyprinus asiaticus (Chinese sucker), 255 nucleotides. RefSeq lists it as uncharacterized. NCBI's taxonomy places the organism in Eukaryota, Metazoa, Chordata, Actinopteri, Cypriniformes, Catostomidae. The transcript is spliced from 2 exons. The record is from RefSeq and is a predicted model, not a curated record.
AGAGAAGUACUGUGAACAGGAACAUAUUUGGGGGAAAAAAAUGGCCGGCUUUUAUUAAAUAGCUUCUUUUGAAAGUUUAGCUGACAACUAUGAGAGUACAAACACACUCAGCAUUAAUGUCCCUCUCUUGAAAAUAGGAACUUCUGGACACUAUUUAAAGCUCAGCAUGCAGCGUCUUAUUCUGAUGGGUCAAAACCUGCAGUCGCUCAUGUAGAUUCCGUGCCUCCUGUUCUGCACGUCGCAGCUGAUUAUUAU